UACAGAGGUCUCGAGCGUUAAUCGGAGUCACUGGGCUUAAAGGGUGCGUAGGCGGUCCCGCAAGUGCUUUGUGAAAUCCCACGGCUCAACCGUGGAAUUGCUUGGCAGACUGCGGGGCUUGAGGUCGGUAGAGGUCGCUGGAACUCUAGGUGGAGCGGUGAAAUGCGUAGAUAUCUAGAGGAACGCCGAUGGUGAAGACAGGCGACUGGGCCGAUUCUGACGCUGAGGCACGAAAGCGUGGGGAGCAAACGGG
Molecule: ribosomal RNA, 253 nt
Filed under: uncultured bacterium
Lineage: Bacteria
Description: partial 16S ribosomal RNA
Rfam family: Bacterial small subunit ribosomal RNA
Source: RNAcentral